CGCAUAAGCGUACAGUAACACGGUUGGUAGACCGGCAUAGAAAAGACUGUUUGUGUGUGUUGUGAGUAUGAGUGUGCGGAGGUGCGCGACGAGAUGGGGUAGACCUUCUCUAUCGAUUUU
This is a non-coding RNA of Caenorhabditis elegans, 120 nucleotides long. NCBI's taxonomy places the organism in Eukaryota, Metazoa, Nematoda, Chromadorea, Rhabditida, Rhabditidae. The record is from Ensembl.